CCGGCAAACGGGUGCGGAACACGUACGCAACCUUCCUUUAACUGGAGAAUAGCCCCUCGAAAGAGGGAUUAAUACUCCGUAACAUCCCGGGAUGGCAUCAUUUCGGGAUUAUAGCUCCGGCGGUUAAAGAUGGGCGUGCGCCUGAUUAGAUAGUUGGCGGGGUAAUGGCCCACCAAGUCUACGAUCAGUAACUGGUGUGAGAGCACGACCAGUCACACGGGCACUGAGACACGGGCCCG
This 239-nucleotide ribosomal RNA is filed under the name uncultured bacterium. RNAcentral's name for it is "partial 16S ribosomal RNA". It matches the Rfam family "Bacterial small subunit ribosomal RNA", at positions 95 to 334 of the family's 1533-position model. The record is from RNAcentral.